GUGCUGAACUGUAGAGAAGUUGUGUUUGAUUGAUUGAUGUAGGGAUCUGAUUCUAUGUGAAAAUGUGGUUACUAGGGGGAUGAUAAUUGUCUGUUGAUUGGGUAUUGAUGACAAAGGAGAAGAGACAGAGGAAGUGUUGCGGUUUAGUGAUUGGUGCAGAUCACUCCCCAGAGGGGGGUCAGGAUUAGGGUGAGGGAGGGAGAUAGGGGUUAAGUUGGGAUGAGAACCAUGGUUAGGGUAAUGGUGAGCAUUAAGGUUAGGCGUGGGGUUUGGGGAGAGCAUUAAGGUUAGGCGUGGGGUUUGGGGAGAGGUUAAGUUGGGAUGAGAACCAUGGUUAGGGUAAUGGUGAGCAUUAAGGUUAGGCGUGGGGUUUGGG
RNAcentral lists this long non-coding RNA (376 nucleotides) under Salmo salar (Atlantic salmon). RNAcentral's name for it is "lncRNA (ENSSSAG00000088102.1)". Lineage: Eukaryota; Metazoa; Chordata; Actinopteri; Salmoniformes; Salmonidae. The record is from RNAcentral.